Molecule: ribosomal RNA, 253 nt
Filed under: uncultured bacterium
Lineage: Bacteria
Description: partial 16S ribosomal RNA
Rfam family: Bacterial small subunit ribosomal RNA
Source: RNAcentral
UACGAAGGGGGCUAGCGUUGCUCGGAAUUACUGGGCGUAAAGCGCACGUAGGCGGUCUUUUAAGUCAGGGGUGAAAUCCUGGAGCUCAACUCCAGAACUGCCUUUGAUACUGAGGAUCUUGAGUUCGGGAGAGGUGAGUGGAACUGCGAGUGUAGAGGUGAAAUUCGUAGAUAUUCGCAAGAACACCGGUGGCGAAGGCGGCCCACUGGAUCGGUACUGACGCUGAGGUGCGAAAGCGUGGGGAGCAAACAGG